RNAcentral lists this ribosomal RNA (350 nucleotides) under uncultured bacterium. RNAcentral's name for it is "bacterial SSU rRNA". It matches the Rfam family "Bacterial small subunit ribosomal RNA", at positions 72 to 422 of the family's 1533-position model. The record is from RNAcentral.
GAAGUUGCUUGCAACUUUGAGACCGGCGCACGGGUGCGUAACGCGUAUGCAAUCUACCUUUUACAGAGGGAUAGCCCAGAGAAAUUUGGAUUAAUACCUCAUAGUGUAAUGAGUUGGCAUCAACAUAUUACUAAAGUUACAACGGUAAAAGAUGAGCAUGCGUCCUAUUAGCUAGUUGGUGUGGUAACGGCAUACCAAGGCGACGAUAGGUAGGGGUCCUGAGAGGGAGAUCCCCCACACUGGUACUGAGACACGGACCAGACUCCUACGGGAGGCAGCAGUGAGGAAUAUUGGACAAUGGGCGCAAGCCUGAUCCAGCCAUGCCGCGUGCAGGAAGACGGUCCUAUGGA